UCAACUAGGACCCAUAUACACACUAUCUGAGUAUAUCGCUUAAAUUAAUAGACUAGUUUCCACUUAAAUUAAAUACCAAUAUUGGAGUAGUAUUUUCUUUGAGUUGCAUAUAAAGAACUCGUAGAACCAAAACUUAAAUAUGUGGAAAGUCUCAGUGAGAGGAAAGUUAGCAGCUGCGUUAUAUUUAUUUCUUCAUCAAUCUGUUAUUCCCUGGUGCCUCUUGCAAGGCUAUUUGACAGAUACAAACCAUAAUCACUAGAGAAAAUUGAGGGUCACUCUCUGUUGUCCACAAUUUGUGUGGGGUGGUGACAUCUCAUUCACUGUUCCGUUUUUCUUGAUCCUAGCCAUCUGUAUGGACAUGUAUGCGUACAAAUUAGUUAGUUAGAGAAAACAUGAAAGAGGUCUAAUUUGUGAGAGCAGAUUUUGUGAGGUAAGAUUUACGGAGUCCUCCAAAAGUUUGUUUUGCUCUCGCAGCAGUUUUUCCUGCAAAAAAGGGUUGUCAUGUACAGUCUAAUGGAAAAUUUAACAUGAUCUUAAUUCAUCCUAAAACUAUUAAAGGUAUCUGAUGAGAACUGUUGAUUA
Long non-coding RNA from Lycium barbarum (goji berry), 582 nucleotides. RefSeq lists it as uncharacterized. The record is from RefSeq and is a predicted model, not a curated record. NCBI's taxonomy places the organism in Eukaryota, Viridiplantae, Streptophyta, Magnoliopsida, Solanales, Solanaceae. The transcript has 2 exons.